This 97-nucleotide signal recognition particle RNA is filed under the name Leucothrix arctica. RNAcentral describes it as "Bacterial small signal recognition particle RNA". It matches the Rfam family "Bacterial small signal recognition particle RNA". Rfam says of the family: The signal recognition particle (SRP) is a universally conserved ribonucleoprotein involved in the co-translational targeting of proteins to membranes. Archaeal SRP consists of a 7S RNA and homologues of the eukaryotic SRP19 and SRP54 proteins. The record is from Rfam by way of RNAcentral. Lineage: Bacteria; Pseudomonadati; Pseudomonadota; Gammaproteobacteria; Thiotrichales; Thiotrichaceae.
CAUUGGUCUCCUCGCGACGAUAAACUACGAACCCAGCCAGGACCGGAAGGUAGCAACUGUAGUAGUGGAUUUGUGCGCUGAGAAUCGGCUGAUGUGG